GGGGGCAGCAAUCCAUCAACGGGUUGUCAGAUUUGUCUGAAAAUUCCUGGGCAGAUAGAUCUUCACUGAAGAGACAAUUUCACCCUUUGUCAGAUUUGCUCUAAAUGCUUUGGUUUCAGAGUUAUAAGCCAAAAUCUACAUUUUACCUGUAUGUUCUAUUUUUGGCCAUAGUGGCCAUCUCGGUUGGUUGACCGGGUCUAACCACACAUUUUUUAAAUUAGAUACCGCAAUGAUGAUUUUGGCUAAGUUUGGUU
RNAcentral lists this long non-coding RNA (254 nucleotides) under Mytilus galloprovincialis (Mediterranean mussel). Lineage: Eukaryota; Metazoa; Mollusca; Bivalvia; Mytilida; Mytilidae. The record is from RNAcentral.